Molecule: ribosomal RNA, 496 nt
Filed under: uncultured bacterium
Lineage: Bacteria
Description: partial 16S ribosomal RNA
Rfam family: Bacterial small subunit ribosomal RNA
Source: RNAcentral
GAUGAACGCUGGCGGCGUGCCUAAUACAUGCAAGUCGAGCGAACAGACGAGGAGCUUGCUCCUCUGACGUUAGCGGCGGACGGGUGAGUAACACGUGGAUAACCUACCUAUAAGACUGGGAUAACUUCGGGAAACCGGAGCUAAUACCGGAUAAUAUAUUGAACCGCAUGGUUCAAUAGUGAAAGACGGUUUUGCUGUCACUUAUAGAUGGAUCCGCGCCGCAUUAGCUAGUUGGUAAGGUAACGGCUUAUCAAGGCGACGAUGCGUAGCCGACCUGAGAGGGUGAUCGGCCACACUGGAACUGAGACACGGUCCAGACUCCUACGGGAGGCAGCAGUAGGGAAUCUUCCGCAAUGGGCGAAAGCCUGACGGAGCAACGCCGCGUGAGUGAUGAAGGUCUUCGGAUCGUAAAACUCUGUUAUUAGGGAAGAACAAAUGUGUAAGUAACUAUGCACGUCUUGACGGUACCUAAUCAGAAAGCCACGGCUAACUACGU